AGUGAACGCUGGCGGUAGGCCUAACACAUGCAAGUCGAACGGCAGCACAGUAAGAGCUUGCUCUUACGGGUGGCGAGUGGCGGACGGGUGAGGAAUACAUCGGAAUCUACUUUUUCGUGGGGGAUAACGUAGGGAAACUUACGCUAAUACCGCAUACGACCUACGGGUGAAAGCAGGGGAUCUUCGGACCUUGCGCGAUUGAAUGAGCCGAUGUCGGAUUAGCUAGUUGGCGGGGUAAAGGCCCACCAAGGCGACGAUCCGUAGCUGGUCUGAGAGGAUGAUCGGCCACACUGGAACUGGGACAGGGUCCAGACUCCUACGGGAGGCAGCAGUGGGGAAUAUUGGACAAUGGGCGCAAGCCUGGUCCAGCCAUACCGCGUGGGUGAAGAAGGCCUUCGGGUUGUAAAGCCCUUUUGUUGGGAAAGAAAAGCAGCAGGUUAAUACGCCGCUGUUCUGACGGUACCCAAAGAAUAAGCACCGGCUAACUUCGUG
RNAcentral lists this ribosomal RNA (492 nucleotides) under uncultured bacterium. RNAcentral's name for it is "partial 16S ribosomal RNA". It matches the Rfam family "Bacterial small subunit ribosomal RNA", at positions 29 to 507 of the family's 1533-position model. The record is from RNAcentral.